Molecule: ribosomal RNA, 468 nt
Filed under: uncultured bacterium
Lineage: Bacteria
Description: partial 16S ribosomal RNA
Rfam family: Bacterial small subunit ribosomal RNA
Source: RNAcentral
AGUGAACGCUGGCGGCGUGCCUAGCACAUGCAAGUCGAGCGAUCUUCUUCGGAAGAGAGCGGCGGACGGGUGAGUAACGCGUGGGUAACCUGCCUCAUACACAUGGAUAACAUACCGAAAGGUAUGCUAAUACAAGAUGAUAUAAGAGAUUCGCAUGGAUUUCUUAUCAAAGCUUUUGCGGUAUGAGAUGGACCCGCGUCUGAUUAGCUAGUUGGUAAGGUAAUGGCUUACCAAGGCGACGAUCAGUAGCCGACCUGAGAGGGUGAUCGGCCACAUUGGAACUGAGACACGGUCCAAACUCCUACGGGAGGCAGCAGUGGGGAAUAUUGCAUAAUGGGCGAAAGCCUGGUGCAGCAACGCCGCGUGAGCGAUGAAGGCCUUCGGGUCGUAGAGCUCUGUCCUCAAGGAAGAUAAUGACGGUACUUGAGGAGGAAGCCCCGGCUAACUACGUGCCAGCAGCCGCCGCAG